RNAcentral lists this unclassified non-coding RNA (638 nucleotides) under Bradyrhizobium sp. RNAcentral describes it as "partial 16S-23S ribosomal RNA intergenic spacer". The stretch from base 522 to 638 matches the Rfam family "Bacterial large subunit ribosomal RNA", at positions 1 to 116 of the family's 2925-position model. The record is from RNAcentral. RNAcentral also lists the same sequence under 1 other name. Lineage: Bacteria; Pseudomonadati; Pseudomonadota; Alphaproteobacteria; Hyphomicrobiales; Nitrobacteraceae.
CGGAGUUCAGUCUUCCCAGGCCCACCACUUUCAUCGAGUGAGCAUUCGUCUUCUGGUUACGGGGCCAUAGCUCAGCUGGGAGAGCGCGUGCUUUGCAAGCAUGAGGUCGUCGGUUCGAUCCCGUCUGGCUCCACCAGAUGGUUUGAUCACCGAGAUCUUGUACCGUCGUCCGCGAAACAUCACUUCGCAUCCUGCUAGUCUGGAUAGACAGCAAGAUGCGUGUUUUCUGACAUCGUAAAGAGGAGAUCGAUCCGAGUUGGGUCGUGCAGCGGAUUGUUGCGCGAAUCCUUCAUUAUCUCCGGAUCAUUUUCGGCGCUCGCUUUCAGCCGUGAGGUUGAAUGCGAGUUGUAAAAUGAUCCUUUUAGCGAAGCUUGACCGCCUCGCUAUCGGAACGAUCUUACGAAGCAAGCUGGUCUUUCUAGUCAAUGUCCGGCUGUGCGUAGCGUUCAUCGAGGGCGCGUGCCGUAAGGCAAUCGUACAGACAACAUUCUGCCGAGUGUGUGGACAUUGAUAAUGAGAGCAAUCAAGUGCCUUAAGGGUGUUCGGUGGAUGCCUUGGCGCUGAGAGGCGAUGAAGGACGUGCUACGCUGCGAUAAGCCGUGGGGAGCUGCGAAGAAGCUUUGAUCCGCGGAUUUCCG